CCGCCAUUAGCUCAACGGGAAGAGCAGACGAUUUUCGAUUGGAAGGGACGGGGUUCGAGGCCUCGAUGGCGGU
This 73-nucleotide transfer RNA is filed under the name Pseudocitrobacter faecalis. RNAcentral's name for it is "tRNA-Glu". It matches the Rfam family "tRNA". From Rfam's summary of the family: Transfer RNA (tRNA) molecules are approximately 80 nucleotides in length. The record is from RNAcentral. Lineage: Bacteria; Pseudomonadati; Pseudomonadota; Gammaproteobacteria; Enterobacterales; Enterobacteriaceae.